RNAcentral lists this ribosomal RNA (232 nucleotides) under Gentiana atlantica. The record is from RNAcentral. Lineage: Eukaryota; Viridiplantae; Streptophyta; Magnoliopsida; Gentianales; Gentianaceae.
AUCGCGUCGCCCCCCCAACAACCGUGCAUGAAAAAUUGCCGGUUGUCUCAGGGGCGGAUAUUGGCUUCCCGUGCUUCGGUGCGGCUGGCCUAAAUUCAAGUCCUUGCGCAAGGACACGACGACAGUGGUGGUUGAUUACCUCAACUCAGUUGCUGUCGGACGUUGACCCGUCGGUGAGGAGACGUACCUAGACCCAAAUGCAUGCGACGACAUCACGCCUGCGCACGACCAC